Panicum virgatum (switchgrass) is the source of this 800-nucleotide long non-coding RNA. RefSeq lists it as uncharacterized. Lineage: Eukaryota; Viridiplantae; Streptophyta; Magnoliopsida; Poales; Poaceae. The record is from RefSeq and is a predicted model, not a curated record. The transcript has 3 exons.
AUUCCAUCCCUAAAAUACCAACCUCCACCUUGUACAUGAUACUUUGGCACUUGUCUAACAUGUAUUCUUUAUAUGAUGUAGGAGGCAUGUCAAAAGAAUAAAGACAAUCGAGGCAACAUCAAGUUCCAUCAAACAACUAGCUCUCGUAGCUACCCGGUUUUUGUAGAAAACUUGGACAUGAGUUUGAGGAUAAUGUGCCUGAUGCAUUUGAUUUGUUCGAAGUCUGCCACUACAAUAAGAAAAAAAAGGAUUCACACCUGCUACUGAAAUGGAAAACCAGCUGGCAGCAGAACCACCAGAAGGUGAAGAACCCAAGUCAAAGGCUGAGGUUGUAGCUGAUGUGCUUGAGCGCAACAGCAAGAACAAUCAGUUCCUUCAGAAAGUGGGGCUAUAGGCUGAACGACGACCAAGGAGAUGUGAUGCUGCAGCACAACUAGAAGCAGAGAAGAUGGCAAAUGCUGGUCUUCGAUCAAUUAUCAGCAACCAAUCAAAGCAGCUGGAGGAAGUUGAACGGGCAAGGAUAAGGGACAAAGAAGAGAUGAACAAGAAGUAUGCAAACUUGGAGGCCAAACUUGAGCUUUUGCUGGGUACAAAUUGACAAAGCUUACUGACUUGCUAUGCUACUUUUUGUUAGAACCAAACUUGUGUAGUUGCAGCCCAUCUUUUGCUGUGUUGAAGAGUGUCUUGUGUGCACUGCUAGUCUAACCAUUGGGAAUUUUUGUAGUUAACAGAAUUUUUAUACCGUGCUCUAUAGCAUUAUGAUCCUGAUUUAAACUAAUUCUGGUGAUGGUAAUUUGGAU